UUUCCGUAGGUGAACCUGCGGAAGGAUCAUUAUCGUGGGGCUCCGGCCCCGUCGAGAUAGAACCCUUGCCUUUUUCGAGUACCGCCCGUUUCCUCGGCAGGCCCGCCUGCCAACGGGGACAACCAAAACCCUUCUUUAUCUGUAAUCGUCUGAACAAAAACAAACAAUCAAAACUUUCAACAACGGAUCUCUUGGUUCUG
Molecule: unclassified non-coding RNA, 200 nt
Filed under: root metagenome
Description: partial contains small subunit ribosomal RNA, internal transcribed spacer 1, and 5.8S ribosomal RNA
Source: RNAcentral